UACCCGUACCGUAAACCGACACAGGUGGAUGAGGAGAGAAUCCUAAGGCCGACGGGAGAAGCAUUGUUAAGGAACUCGGCAAAAUGACUCCGUAACUUCGGGAGAAGGAGUGCCAGUGAGAGCUGGCCGCAGAGAAUUGGCCCAAGCAACUGUUUAGCAAAAACACAGGUCUAUGCAAAACCGAAAGGUGAAGUAUAUGGGCUGACGCCUGCCCGGUGCUGGAAGGUUAAGGGGAGAGGUUAGCGGUAACGCGAAGCUUUGAACUUAAGCCCCAGUAAACGGCGGCCGUAACUAUAACGGUCCUAAGGUAGCGAAAUUCCUUGUCGGGUAAGUUCCGACCCGCACGAAAGGCGUAAUGAUUUGGGCACUGUCUCGACAAUGCACCCGGUGAAAUUGAAAUACCAGUGAAGAUGCUGGUUACCUGCGCCAGGACGGAAAGACCCCAUGGAGCUUUACUCCAGCUUGAUACUGGGAUUCGAUAUUGCAUGUACAGGAUAGGUGGGAGACUAGGAAGCGGUGACGCCAGUUGCCGCAGAGUCGCUGUUGGGAUACCACCCUUGCAGUAUUGGAUUUCUAACCAGCAGCCGUGAACCGGCUGGGGGACAAUGUCAGGUGGGGAGUUUGACUGGGGCGGUCGCCUCCGAAAGGGUAUCGGAGGCGCUCAAAGGUUCCCUCAGAAUGGUCGGAAACCAUUCGAAGAGUGCAAAGGCAGAAGGGAGCUUGACUGCGACACCGACGGGUGGAGCAGGUACGAAAGUAGGACUUAGUGAUCCGGUGGUAUAAAGUGGGAUUGCCAUCGCUCAACGGAUAAAAGCUACCCUGGGGAUAACAGGCUUAUCACUCCCAAGAGUUCACAUCGACGGAGUGGUUUGGCACCUCGAUGUCGGCUCAUCGCAUCCUGGGGCUGGAGUAGGUCCCAAGGGUUGGGCUGUUCGCCCAUUAAAGCGGUACGCGAGCUGGGUUCAGAACGUCGUGAGACAGUUCGGUCCCUAUCCGGCGUGGGCGUAGGAUAUUUGAGAGGAGCUGACCUUAGUACGAGAGGACCGGGUUGGACUGGCCGCUGGUGAAUCUGUUGUUCUACCAAGAGCAUGGCAGAGUAGCCAAGCCGGGAAGGGAUAAACGCUGAAGGCAUCUAAGCGUGAAGCCCCCCUCAAGAUGAGAUAUCCCAUAACGUCAAGUUAGUAAGACCCCUUGAAGACGAC
This 1202-nucleotide ribosomal RNA is filed under the name Faecalimonas nexilis. RNAcentral describes it as "partial 23S ribosomal RNA". It matches the Rfam family "Bacterial large subunit ribosomal RNA", at positions 1639 to 2848 of the family's 2925-position model. Lineage: Bacteria; Bacillati; Bacillota; Clostridia; Lachnospirales; Lachnospiraceae. The record is from RNAcentral.